GACAGAGGGUGCAAACGUUGUUCGGAAUUACUGGGCGUAAAGCGCGUGUAGGCGGCUCGGCAAGUCGGGUGUGAAAGCCCUGGGCUUAACCUAGGAAGUGCACUCGAAACUGCCAAGCUUGAGUUCUGGAGAGGAAGGCGGAAUUCUCGGUGUAGAGGUGAAAUUCGUAGAUAUCGAGAGGAACACCGGUGGCGAAGGCGGCCUUCUGGACAGCAACUGACGCUGAGACGCGAAAGCCAGGGGAGCAAACGGG
RNAcentral lists this ribosomal RNA (253 nucleotides) under uncultured bacterium. RNAcentral's name for it is "partial 16S ribosomal RNA". It matches the Rfam family "Bacterial small subunit ribosomal RNA", at positions 524 to 776 of the family's 1533-position model. The record is from RNAcentral.